GGAGGGAUCAUUACCGAGUGUAAAAACUCCCAAACCAUUGUGAACCUACCACUGUUGCUUCGGCGGCCUCGCCCCGGGCGCGUUCGCGCGGCCCGGACCCAGGCGUCCGCCGGAGGCUCCAAACUCUUGUCUUUUAGUGUAUUUCUGAGUGGCAUAAGCAAAUAAAUCAAAACUUUCAGCAACGGAUCUCUUGGUUCUGGCAUCGAUGAAGAACGCAGCAAAAUGCGAUAAGUAAUGUGAAUUGCAGAAUUCAGUGAAUCAUCGAAUCUUUGAACGCACAUUGCGCCCGCCAGUAUUCUGGCGGGCAUGCCUGUCUGAGCGUCAUUUCAACCCUCAGGACCCGUUCGCGGGACCUGGCGUUGGGGAUCAGCCUGCCCCUGGCGGCGGCUGGCCCUGAAAUCCAGUGGCGGUUCCCUCGCGAACUCCUCCGUGCAGUAAUUAAACCUCUCGCGGCAGGAUAGCGGUUGAACCACGCCGUUAAACCCCCCACUUCUCAAGGUUGACCUCAGAUCAGGUAGGAAUACCCGCUGAACUUAAGCAU
This 541-nucleotide ribosomal RNA is filed under the name Acremonium sclerotigenum. RNAcentral's name for it is "eukaryotic LSU rRNA". The stretch from base 171 to 324 matches the Rfam family "5.8S ribosomal RNA". Lineage: Eukaryota; Fungi; Ascomycota; Sordariomycetes; Hypocreales; Bionectriaceae. The record is from RNAcentral.